RNAcentral lists this ribosomal RNA (377 nucleotides) under uncultured bacterium. RNAcentral describes it as "bacterial SSU rRNA". It matches the Rfam family "Bacterial small subunit ribosomal RNA", at positions 521 to 896 of the family's 1533-position model. The record is from RNAcentral.
UAACACGGGGGGAACGAGCGUUGUUCGGAUUUACUGGGCGUAAAGGGUGCGUAGGCGGGUCAGCAAGUCGGGUGUGAAAGUCCAGGGCUUAACCCUGAAUCUGCAUUCGAAACUGCUGGUCUUGAGUACUGGAGAGGUAAGUGGAAUUCCUGGUGUAGCGGUGAAAUGCGUAGAUAUCAGGAGGAACACCGUUGGCGAAGGCGGCUUACUGGACAGAUACUGACGCUGAGGCACGAAGGUCGGGGGAGCAAACAGGAUUAGAUACCCUGGUAGUCCCGACGGUAAACGAUGGGCACUAGGUGUCGGAGGUAUCGACCCCUCCGGUGCCGCAGUUAACACAUUAAGUGCCCCGCCUGGGGAGUACGACCGCAAGGUUG